GUGGAUUAGAUACCCUGGUAGUCCAUGCCGUAAACGAUGAACACUAGGUUUUGGGCUCGUCAACGGUCCAGAGCCGCAGCUAACGCGUUAAGUGUUCCGCCUGGGGAAUACGGUCGCAAGACUGAAACUCAAAGGAAUUGACGGGGGCCCGCACAAGCGGUGGAGCAUGUGGUUUAAUUCGACGCAACGCGCAGAACCUUACCAGGACUUGACAUGGAAGUGACCGGACGAGAGAUCGUUCUUCUCCCGCAAGGGAGCACUUCACACAGGUGCUGCACGGCCGUCGUCAACU
Molecule: ribosomal RNA, 292 nt
Filed under: uncultured bacterium
Lineage: Bacteria
Description: partial 16S ribosomal RNA
Rfam family: Bacterial small subunit ribosomal RNA
Source: RNAcentral